Molecule: ribosomal RNA, 2622 nt
Filed under: Salinivibrio sp. MA427
Lineage: Bacteria; Pseudomonadati; Pseudomonadota; Gammaproteobacteria; Vibrionales; Vibrionaceae
Description: bacterial LSU rRNA
Source: RNAcentral
AGCGUAGACGGUGGAUGCCUUGGCAGUCAGAGGCGAUGAAGGACGUAUUAACUUGCGAAAAGCCCAGAUAAGGCAGUAAAAGCCAUUUGAAUCUGGGAUAUCCGAAUGGGGAAACCCACCUGCAUAAGCAGGUAUCUUAGCGUGAAUACAUAGCGCUAAGAGGCGAACUCGGGGAACUGAAACAUCUAAGUACCCGGAACAUGGGGGGACCAUCCUCCAAGGCUAAAUACUCCUGACUGACCGAUAGUGAACCAGUACCGUGAGGGAAAGGCGAAAAGAACCCCUGUGAGGGGAGUGAAAUAGAACCUGAAACCGUCUACGUACAAGCAGUGGGAGCCUCCUUUGWGGGGUGACCGCGUACCUUUUGUAUAAUGGGUCAGCGACUUAAUGUUAGUAGCAAGGUUAACCGCAUAGGGGAGCCGUAGGGAAACCGAGUCUUAACUGGGCGURUAGUUGCUAGCAUUAGACCCGAAACCGAGUGAUCUAGCCAUGGGCAGGUUGAAGGUUGAGUAACAUCAACUGGAGGACCGAACUCACUAACGUUGAAAAGUUAGGAGAUGACCUGUGGCUAGGGGUGAAAGGCCAAUCAAACUCGGAGAUAGCUGGUUCUCCCCGAAAGCUAUUUAGGUAGCGCCUCGGACGAACACUACUGGGGGUAGAGCACUGUUAAGGCUAGGGGGUCAUCCCGACUUACCAACCCUUUGCAAACUCCRAAUACCAGUAAGUGCUAUCCGGGAGACACACGGCGGGUGCUAACGUCCGUCGUGGAGAGGGAAACAACCCAGACCGCCAGCUAAGGUCCCAAAGUUAUCGCUAAGUGGGAAACGAUGUGGGAAGGCUCAGACAGCCAGGAUGUUGGCUUAGAAGCAGCCAUCAUUUAAAGAAAGCGUAAUAGCUCACUGGUCGAGUCGGCCUGCGCGGAAGAUGUAACGGGGCUAAGCGAUACACCGAAGCUGCGGCAAUGUCCUUAUGGAUAUUGGGUAGGGGAGCGUUGUGUAAGCYGUUGAAGGUGUGCUGAGAGGCAUGCUGGAGGUAUCACAAGUGCGAAUGCUGACAUGAGUAACGAUAAWGGGGGUGAAAAACCUCCWCGCCGGAAGACCAAGGGUUCCUGUCCAACGUUAAUCGGGGCAGGGUAAGUCGGCCCCUAAGGCGAGGCCGAAAGGCGUAGUCGAUGGGAAACGGGUUAAUAUUCCCGUACUGCURCUUACUGCGAUGGGGGGACGGAGAAGGCUAGGUGGGCCUGGCGAUGGUUGUCCAGGUUCAAGGGUGUAGGCUGUAAUCUUAGGCAAAYCCGGGAUUACRYACGGUCGAGACCCGAUGUCGAGCCACCAAGGUGGUGAAGUCAUUGAUGCCAUGCUUCCGGGAAAAGCCUCUAAGCUUCAGGUAAGUAGGAACCGUACUCCAAACCGACACAGGUGGUCGGGUAGAGAAUACCAAGGCGCUUGAGAGAACUCGGGUGAAGGAACUAGGCAAAAUGGUACCGUAACUUCGGGAGAAGGUACGCUGCCCACGGUGAAGUCCCUUGCGGAUGGAGCUAUGGGCAGUCGCAGAUACCAGGUGGCUGCAACUGUUUAUUAAAAACACAGCACUGUGCAAAAUCGAAAGAUGACGUAUACGGUGUGACGCCUGCCCGGUGCCGGAAGGUUAAUUGAUGUGGUUAUCGCAAGAGAAGCCAUUGAUCGAAGCCCCGGUAAACGGCGGCCGUAACUAUAACGGUCCUAAGGUAGCGAAAUUCCUUGUCGGGUAAGUUCCGACCUGCACGAAUGGCGUAAUGAUGGCCACGCUGUCUCCACCCGAGACUCAGUGAAAUUGAAAUCGCAGUGAAGAUGCUGUGUACCCGCGGCUAGACGGAAAGACCCCGUGAACCUUUACUACAGCUUGGCACUGAACAUUGAGCCUACAUGUGUAGGAUAGGUGGGAGGCUUUGAAACGGCGACGCCAGUUGYYGUGGAGCCAUCCUUGAAAUACCACCCUUGUAUGUUUGAUGUUCUAACUUAGCCCCSUWAUCSGGGGUGAGGACAGUGCCUGGUGGGUAGUUUGACUGGGGCGGUCUCCUCCCAAAGYGUAACGGAGGAGCACGAAGGUGGGCUAAUCACGGUCGGACAUCGUGAGGUUAGUGCAAUGGCAUAAGCCCGCUUAACUGCGAGAGUGACGGCUCGAGCAGGUACGAAAGUAGGUCAUAGUGAUCCGGUGGUUCUGAAUGGAAGGGCCAUCGCUCAACGGAUAAAAGGUACUCCGGGGAUAACAGGCUGAUACCGCCCAAGAGUUCAUAUCGACGGCGGUGUUUGGCACCUCGAUGUCGGCUCAUCACAUCCUGGGGCUGAAGUCGGUCCCAAGGGUAUGGCUGUUCGCCAUUUAAAGUGGUACGCGAGCUGGGUUUAGAACGUCGUGAGACAGUUCGGUCCCUAUCUGCCGUGGGCGUUGGAUGAUUGAGGGGAGCUGCUCCUAGUACGAGAGGACCGGAGUGGACGAACCGCUGGUGUUCGGGUUGUGUCGCCAGGACCAUAGCGCUUUGGACCCACCUGAUCCCAUGCCGAACUCAGUAGUGAAACGAAGCAGCGCCGAUGGUAGUGUGGGGUCUCCCCAUGUGAGAGUAGGACAUCGCCAGGCUUGCUUUCUUGU